Octopus sinensis (East Asian common octopus) is the source of this 408-nucleotide long non-coding RNA. RefSeq lists it as uncharacterized. The record is from RefSeq and is a predicted model, not a curated record. The transcript has 3 exons. Lineage: Eukaryota; Metazoa; Mollusca; Cephalopoda; Octopoda; Octopodidae.
UAGUAUGUUCUUUCAAUAUUGAUUGUUAAACACCAAAAAUUCUCCAGAUGUUUUAUUAGCAACCUUAGUUACAAUCGGGUCAAAGUUGAUGGAAAAUUUCUUUAAAAAAAAAAAGUACCCGUCACGCAGACCGAAAAGACAAAAUAAUGAUGCAGUGCUUGCAAUGUAAUGUUUUCAAACAAGUAAAGAAAAAUCCAAGUUCCUCAUUUUGUCUCCCCGACUGGAAAUAGGAAAUCAUUGUAAAAAUUUGUUUUUAACAAAAAUAAAAUUGAACGAAACUGCAAAAAAGUGUCCGAAACCGCCCUGGCACCACUUGCUUAGUUUUCACUUUAUAUAUGUAAUGUUGAGAACAAAUUAGAUUAUUUCUAUUUUGAUUAAGUUUUAGCAGCAAAACAAACGUUGCUAAUG